GAUGAAGAACGCAGCGAAAUGGGAUAAGUAAUGUGAAUUGCAGAAUUCAGUGAAUCAUCGAAUCUUUGAACGCACAUUGCGCCCUUUGGUAUUCCGAAGGGCAUGCCUGUUCGAGCGUCAUUUCACCACUCAAGCCUGGCUUGGUAUUGGGCGCCGCGGUCGAUCCGCGCGCCUCAAAGUCUCCGGCUGAGCUGUCCGUCUCUAAGCGUUGUGAUUUCAUUAAUCGCUUCGGAGUGCGGGCGGCCGCGGCCGUUAAAUCUUUCACAAGGUUGACCUCGGAUCAGGGAGGGAUACCCGCUGAACUUAAGCAUAUCAAUAAGCGGAGGA
RNAcentral lists this unclassified non-coding RNA (327 nucleotides) under soil metagenome. RNAcentral describes it as "partial contains 5.8S ribosomal RNA, internal transcribed spacer 2, and large subunit ribosomal RNA". The stretch from base 1 to 120 matches the Rfam family "5.8S ribosomal RNA", at positions 35 to 154 of the family's 154-position model. The record is from RNAcentral.